RNAcentral lists this ribosomal RNA (401 nucleotides) under uncultured bacterium. RNAcentral's name for it is "bacterial SSU rRNA". It matches the Rfam family "Bacterial small subunit ribosomal RNA", at positions 356 to 774 of the family's 1533-position model. The record is from RNAcentral.
GGGGAAUCUUGGACAAUGGGGGCAACCCUGAUCCAGCGAUGCCGCGUGAGCGAAGAAGGCCUUAGGGUUGUAAAGCUCUUUCGCCCGCGACGAUGAUGACGGUAGCGGGAGAAGAAGCCCCGGCUAACUCCGUGCCAGCAGCCGCGGUAAUACGGAGGGGGCUAGCGUUGUCCGGAAUUACUGGGCGUAAAGCGCGCGUAGGCGGUCCACCAAGUCGGGGGUGAAAGCCCGGGGCUCAACCCCGGAAUGUCCUCCGAGACUGUUGGACUGGAGUUCGGGAGAGGAGAGCGGAAUUCCCAGUGUAGAGGUGAAAUUCGUAGAUAUUGGGAAGAACACCGGUGGCGAAGGCGGCUCUCUGGCCCGCAACUGACGCUGAGGCGCGAAAGCGUGGGGAGCAAACA